AUAAAUCAAGACAACCUUUUCUAAUUGUCCAACGAGAUGGAAGAUGAAACCUUGGGCAUGCUAUAGAAAUAAAGAACUUAAAACCCUCCCCUUCCACAAAAUUAAAAGGCAAUUCAUCCGUAAUGAUCAUAUUAAUCAAUGCAUUUCUAAUAUCAUCUUGAUUAAACACCCAAGUUGCCAAAUCUAUAUUUUCUUGGCUAGAUUUUGUAAAUGCAAGUUCUGCUUGUUUAAGAUCAGAGGUAUUACCUCGGGGUUUUUUUGAGCAAGUCUUCA
RNAcentral lists this long non-coding RNA (273 nucleotides) under Gossypium barbadense (sea-island cotton). RNAcentral's name for it is "long non-coding RNA (GBAR_LNC012133)". The record is from RNAcentral. Lineage: Eukaryota; Viridiplantae; Streptophyta; Magnoliopsida; Malvales; Malvaceae.